This 69-nucleotide transfer RNA is filed under the name Termes fatalis. RNAcentral describes it as "tRNA-Trp". RNAcentral also lists the same sequence under 2 other names. Lineage: Eukaryota; Metazoa; Arthropoda; Insecta; Blattodea; Termitidae. The record is from RNAcentral.
AAGGCCUUAAGUUAAUAUACAAACUAAUAACCUUCAAAGCUAUAAAUAAAGGGCUACCUUUAGGCCUUG